This 30-nucleotide non-coding RNA is filed under the name Homo sapiens (human). Lineage: Eukaryota; Metazoa; Chordata; Mammalia; Primates; Hominidae. The record is from RNAcentral.
UCUACGUAAACAAGUUGAAGAAUUGUCUGA